GAUGAACGCUGGCGGCGUGCCUAAUACAUGCAAGUCGAGCGAACAGACGAGGAGCUUGCUCCUCUGACGUUAGCGGCGGACGGGUGAGUAACACGUGGAUAACCUACCUAUAAGACUGGGAUAACUUCGGGAAACCGGAGCUAAUACCGGAUAAUAUAUUGAACCGCAUGGUUCAAUAGUGAAAGACGGUUUUGCUGUCACUUAUAGAUGGAUCCGCGCCGCAUUAGCUAGUUGGUAAGGUAACGGCUUACCAAGGCGACGAUGCGUAGCCGACCUGAGAGGGUGAUCGGCCACACUGGAACUGAGGCACGGUCCAGACUCCUACGGGAGGCAGCAGUAGGGAAUCUUCCGCAAUGGGCGAAAGCUUGACGGAGCAACGCCGCGUGAGUGAUGAAGGUCUUCGGAUCGUAAAACUCUGUUAUUAGGGAAGAACAAGUGUGUAAGUAACUAUGCACGUCUUGACGGUACCUAAUCAGAAAGCCACGGCUAACUACGUG
Molecule: ribosomal RNA, 497 nt
Filed under: uncultured bacterium
Lineage: Bacteria
Description: partial 16S ribosomal RNA
Rfam family: Bacterial small subunit ribosomal RNA
Source: RNAcentral